This 591-nucleotide ribosomal RNA is filed under the name Pseudomonas aeruginosa. RNAcentral's name for it is "partial 23S ribosomal RNA". It matches the Rfam family "Bacterial large subunit ribosomal RNA", at positions 2339 to 2925 of the family's 2925-position model. Lineage: Bacteria; Pseudomonadati; Pseudomonadota; Gammaproteobacteria; Pseudomonadales; Pseudomonadaceae. The record is from RNAcentral.
CGGUCGCAGAGUAUAAAGGCAAAAGCGCGCUUGACUGCGAGACAGACACGUCGAGCAGGUACGAAAGUAGGUCUUAGUGAUCCGGUGGUUCUGUAUGGAAGGGCCAUCGCUCAACGGAUAAAAGGUACUCCGGGGAUAACAGGCUGAUACCGCCCAAGAGUUCAUAUCGACGGCGGUGUUUGGCACCUCGAUGUCGGCUCAUCACAUCCUGGGGCUGAAGCCGGUCCCAAGGGUAUGGCUGUUCGCCAUUUAAAGUGGUACGCGAGCUGGGUUUAGAACGUCGUGAGACAGUUCGGUCCCUAUCUGCCGUGGACGUUUGAGAUUUGAGAGGGGCUGCUCCUAGUACGAGAGGACCGGAGUGGACGAACCUCUGGUGUUCCGGUUGUCACGCCAGUGGCAUUGCCGGGUAGCUAUGUUCGGAAAAGAUAACCGCUGAAAGCAUCUAAGCGGGAAACUUGCCUCAAGAUGAGAUCUCACUGGGAACUUGAUUCCCCUGAAGGGCCGUCGAAGACUACGACGUUGAUAGGCUGGGUGUGUAAGCGUUGUGAGGCGUUGAGCUAACCAGUACUAAUUGCCCGUGAGGCUUGACCA